AAUCGCUCUAAAAGCCGAGAUAGCUUCCUGAAACGAGUGAAGGAAAAUGAUCAGAAAAAGAAGGAAGCCAAAGAGAAAGGAAGAGAGGUUCAUCAGGA
Non-coding RNA from Ceratotherium simum simum (southern white rhinoceros), 98 nucleotides. The record is from RefSeq and is a predicted model, not a curated record. NCBI's taxonomy places the organism in Eukaryota, Metazoa, Chordata, Mammalia, Perissodactyla, Rhinocerotidae.